UACGGAGGGUGCGAGCGUUAAUCGGAAUUACUGGGCGUAAAGGGUGCGUAGGUGGUUUGAUAAGUUAACUGUGAAAUCCCUGGGCUUAACCUGGGCAGGUCAGUUAAGACUGUUAGACUUGAGUAUAGGAGAGGGUAGUGGAAUUUCCGGUGUAGCGGUGAAAUGCGUAGAGAUCGGAAGGAACACCAGUGGCGAAGGCGGCUACCUGGCCAGAUACUGACACUGAAGCACGAAAGCGUGGGGAGCAAACAGG
RNAcentral lists this ribosomal RNA (253 nucleotides) under uncultured bacterium. Its description in RNAcentral is "partial 16S ribosomal RNA". It matches the Rfam family "Bacterial small subunit ribosomal RNA", at positions 524 to 776 of the family's 1533-position model. The record is from RNAcentral.